UGGGGAAUAUUGCACAAUGGGGGAAACCCUGAUGCAGCGACGCCGCGUGAGCGAUGAAGGCUUUCGAGUCGUAAAGCUCUGUCCUAUGGGAAGAUAAUGACGGUACCAUAGAAGAAAGCCCCGGCUAAUUACGUGCCAGCAGCCGCGGUAAUACGUAAGGGGCGAGCGUUGUCCGGAAUUAUUGGGCGUAAAGAGUGCGUAGGCGGCAAAUUAAGUCAGAUGUGAAAACUAAGGGCUCAACCCAUAGAUUGCAUCUGAAACUGAUAUGCUUGAGUCAAGGAGAGGAAAGUGGAAAUCCUAGUGUAGCGAUGAAAUGCGUAGAUAUUAGGAGGAAUACCGGUGGCGAAGGCGACUUUCUGGACUUUUACUGACGCUCAGGUACGAAAGCGUGGGGAGCAAACAGG
RNAcentral lists this ribosomal RNA (404 nucleotides) under Verrucomicrobiota bacterium. RNAcentral describes it as "Verrucomicrobia bacterium partial 16S ribosomal RNA". It matches the Rfam family "Bacterial small subunit ribosomal RNA", at positions 355 to 776 of the family's 1533-position model. Lineage: Bacteria; Pseudomonadati; Verrucomicrobiota. The record is from RNAcentral.